Molecule: ribosomal RNA, 442 nt
Filed under: uncultured bacterium
Lineage: Bacteria
Description: partial 16S ribosomal RNA
Rfam family: Bacterial small subunit ribosomal RNA
Source: RNAcentral
CCUACGGGAGGCAGCAGUAGGGAAUUUUUCACAAUGGGCGAAAGCCUGAUGGAGCAACGCCGCGUGCAGGAUGAAGGCCUUCGGGUUGUAAACUGCUUUUAUAAGCGAGAAAUAUGAUGGUAACUUAUGAAUAAGGAUCGGCUAACUACGUGCCAGCAGCCGCGGUCAUACGUAGGAUCCGAGCAUUAUCCGGAGUGACUGGGUGUAAAGAGUUGCGUAGGUGGCAUAAUAAGUAGCUAGUGAAAUCUGGUGGCUCAACCAUUCAGACUAUUAGCUAAACUGUUAAGCUCGAGACCGUUAAGGGUAACUGGAAUUUCUAGUGUAGGAGUGAAAUCCGUAGAUAUUAGAAGGAACACCAAUAGCGUAGGCAGGUUGCUGGGACGGUUCUGACACUAAGGCACGAAAGCGUAGGGAGCAAACGGGAUUAGAUACCCCAGUAGUC